Molecule: small RNA, 80 nt
Filed under: Salix viminalis (osier)
Lineage: Eukaryota; Viridiplantae; Streptophyta; Magnoliopsida; Malpighiales; Salicaceae
Source: RNAcentral
UCCUCUGAGAAAGAGUUCUUUUUACUUGCAUCUGCAGAUGCUGCACAGGAGAAGAAAGAUGGGGAGACUCAUGAAGAGGG